RNAcentral lists this long non-coding RNA (234 nucleotides) under Pelobates cultripes (western spadefoot toad). Lineage: Eukaryota; Metazoa; Chordata; Amphibia; Anura; Pelobatidae. The record is from RNAcentral.
GGGAUGUCUGGUGUGAAUCACUUUCUUGAGGUUAUGCCACAGCAUCUCAAUCAGGUUGAGGUCAGGACUCUGACUGGGCCACUUCAGAAGGCGUAUUUUCUUCUGUUUAAGCCAUUCUGUUGUUGAUUUACUUCUAUGCUUUGGGUCAUUGUCCUGUUGCAACAUCCAUCUUCUGUUGAGCUUCAGCUGGUAGACAAAUGCCCUUAAGUUCUCCUGCAAAAUGUCUUGAUAAAC